UACGAGGGGAGCUAGCGUUGUUCGGAAUUACUGGGCGUAAAGCGCACGUAGGCGGCUUUGUAAGUAAGGGGUGAAAGCCCAGAGCUCAACUCUGGAAUUGCCUUUUAGACUGCAUCGCUUGAAUCCAGGAGAGGUGAGUGGAAUUCCGAGUGUAGAGGUGAAAUUCGUAGAUAUUCGGAAGAACACCAGUGGCGAAGGCGGCUCACUGGACUGGUAUUGACGCUGAGGUGCGAAAGCGUGGGGAGCAAACAGG
Molecule: ribosomal RNA, 253 nt
Filed under: uncultured bacterium
Lineage: Bacteria
Description: partial 16S ribosomal RNA
Rfam family: Bacterial small subunit ribosomal RNA
Source: RNAcentral